AGAGAGAAGAAAAAGGAAAUGGAUUUUCUGAUGAAAUCCCAGGAGAAAACUCUGAUGACAUUGGAAAAGAUUUCCCUCAUUUAUCCACUGUUGACUUGGAAGGAGCCUUUUCAAGUCAGAGGUCUAUGUCGGUGGGGACGACACUGGAGUAGGAAGGAUUUUGAUGGUGCAAAAUGAUGAGCGAGUCUCACGAUUCUAUGAGCGAUCAGUCUGUGGGCACCUGGAGAAUCCUUCCACGCCACCGCUUGUCUGUGAACCACACAGUGAGAACCACAUCUGUGGACACCCUUGAGUUUCCAUGUGUGAAAACAGAGGCUUUUCGUGGGAUUGGACAAUGGGAGUGUGGCCGCUAACAGCUUGACAUCAUGGUCUUUUAACAACUCUUGGGUUGUGAUAUCAUCAGUUGGCAUAAAUCUUACCACCCAGGGAAACAUGCCGCGCAUGAUAUGGCCCCUGGAGGACCGAGUGACUCACCAAACCUGGCGCUCCCUUGAGUGAGAGCCAAACACAGCACAGUCCCCUUGGACACCAUCUGCCACUGCGACCCAGUGCCAAUUGUGGGCCCCAAAUGGACGGGUCAGACCUUUAGCAUCAUUGGCUUACUUAGCUGGGAUCAGCCUCUUUUUACCACUCGUUGUCCUUUUCGCCCUUCCCAAUUAUUCCCUUUCAGGCAGUGGACACUCAGGAGGUCCCAGGAACCCGGUAUGGGUGGGCUGGUUCCUUCCCUGGUCUCUUUCCUGGCGAUUCCCCCUGAAUCGCUCUGCUGUAAGCGGUCAAAAGGCCAUAUGUGGGUGGGGAUAGAACCAGGGACACUCUACACAUCAACACAGGCAUGUCGCUACAGAGCCAGGCCUGUGAGCGGCUUUCUCCCAGAGGGAUAGACUACUUCUGCCCUCCCUACACACCCCAAAGCACAGGAUUUUUCAACAGGGGCCUCCAAAGACCUGGUAAUGACCUUGAUAGAUCAAACGGCUACGCUCCAGAUCAAGGACAGAAUAACAGUAGGCCAGGGACCCAGAUCCACCUGCAGAGUCUAGUUUGCCAGGAAUCACUGCGUGUCACUGUCCGCCUGGAGAGCCGAGGCCUACUUUCUAAAUGGCACGACGGACUGCAUUCGCAGCCUUUCUCGGGAACAGCAUCCCCCUGGCCUUGACCGCAAAACUGCCAGGAAUCCACGCUGGAGCUGUGUUUGAAUGAGAGCGCUUCAGUGGCCAAUGGGGGACAAUAGAAAGAAAGAUCAGAUGUCGCCAUCCUCGCAGUCGGAGCCUCCCCCAGAAGCCACCGACAUUUAUUUAGAAACUACCUGUGCUGUGGUUUGGGACCCGAAAUGGAAAAAGAUCAGUUCACAUUGCAAUCCGGCUGCUGUAGCACCAGAAGAAAAUUGUUCCAUUAAAGUCAAAGGCAAACCUCAGUUCAAAGGACAGAAAGGCCAGAGCCUUGAGCUGCGGGGCUUAGGGUCUCAGCCAGGAUGGCAUUUGAACAACACGGCUCCCCCUGUAACACUCAGUGCCUGCACCUCUAAACUCCCUUUCUCUCCCUCGCUUUCCCCUCGCAGUUACUUCGAAUCAUCCACCAGCAUUUUAACCCCAGCUACAGUCUAUUCUCAGACUGGCUUCACCCUCCUCUUCUAAGGAAGCUAUGCUCCCCCCUCCACCCAUCCUCAGACGUGGUCCCCAUCCUCUGAACCACGACCGCGUUGCAAAUCGGGACCCCCUCAUCCAACACCCAGGAGAAAAUCCCGGAGGACAGCUAUUUUGCUGCGCAUACAUGUCCCUGGAUUCCCCGGAGCAUGUUAGGAAUGCAGAAGCUUGGGCUCCACCCAGACUUGCUGAACGAGAAUUCGUAUCUUAAGCCGUGGGAGUGGAAUCCACAGGAAAUUCGAGAAGUCCACGCUCCAGGGUAAAGGCUGGGUGCGGGCCCUGAAUAGCUCACUGUCAAGUCGGUGAGCGACUCCUUAUCUCUCUGGCCCGUGCUUCAUCCUCUCUGGGCUGGCUACUGUUCGUGGUCACAGAAAGCAAACUACCGGGAACAUUCAUUAUUUGUCGCCCCAGACCCACGUAGUUCUCUACAAAACCAUCAAUAUUUUGAUAUGACUCAUAGGAUGGUCAAUCUGAAUUUCUGAAUCAAACAUAAACACUUGAUUUUCUGUUGUUUUAACAACUCUAGUACGUUGGGCAUUAUCCUCGGUUAAAUGCAAACUUUCUAUAUUUUUAAAAUUGAGGAUUAGAGGAUGUUAACCAUGAAAGGGAGCUUAGGGGUCGUUAAGAUCAACCUCUCACUUGACAGGUGAGGAAACUGAGUCAGGGUAGAUAGAGUCUUAGCCUUAGACAAGUUCAUGCAUGUCAGAGUGGCAGGAACCCACACCUUUGGGCUCCCGUGUUUGUGUUCUGAGGUAUAGCACACUGAUUCAUGCUGCCCUGGGCUGGUUAGCUGAUUGCACCAGGUGUCUGGCCCGGUAACUUGUCACCUCUAACCAAGGAGAGAGGACUGGAAGCUAAUGGAGCUUCUCCUGUUGUAUCCUUCCUCCUGAGCCCUGCUCCAAGCACCCUGGUGGGAGAGGAGAGUGAAUGAAAUGGGAGCCUUUGUGGUUUGUUCUCACUGUCAUAAUAAAAUGCUGCUUAAGGAGUCUGCAACCUAUCCCACCUACCAGGGACCUCAAGGGGGAGCAUUCUGAUUAGACAUCCAGAAACACAGAGAGGGCGCAUCACCCGCGGAUCACUCGAUUCUUUGUGCGAUAACCAGACUUCAAAUACGGCUUUGCCUCUCCAUCUUCUAUGUGUUUUCACAAUGCCGAAGGGCCACCAGGAGUAGAAACACUCGGGAAUCAAGCUCCCGGGCUCUGAUUAGUUAACUCAUUCACCUAACUGCGGGGCAGGAGGGUGCCCCUGGAGGGCAAGAGCUAUGGGGUCUUCCUGAAUGUCAUUGACCUUGGGCACAUGGAGUCCUCUACAUCUGCAGUUCCCCAGAAGCCAAUGUUACCUCAUCAUCACCAGCCCCACAUCCACCCACAGCAUUGGUCAGUGCCUCCUGGGCCAAGCCUGGGCUAGGUGUUUUGGGUCUGUUACUAACACCCACCACUAGCCUUUUUCACUGACAUGCAUCCUGAGGCCCAGGCUGUGUGAUCUUUAUCCCGGUGAGAUCAAGUUAGAAUAUGCAUUGGGGUGGAACAGAAAUCAUAAAGUAUGAAGCCUGAGGAUUAUGUGAAAGACAGAAAGGAGCAUCUCCAGGUUGACCUAGAG
Molecule: long non-coding RNA, 3239 nt
Organism: Mirounga angustirostris (Northern elephant seal)
Lineage: Eukaryota; Metazoa; Chordata; Mammalia; Carnivora; Phocidae
Exons: 4
Source: RefSeq, a predicted model, not a curated record